Long non-coding RNA from Tupaia belangeri chinensis (Chinese tree shrew), 1815 nucleotides. RefSeq lists it as uncharacterized. The transcript has 2 exons. The record is from RefSeq and is a predicted model, not a curated record. Lineage: Eukaryota; Metazoa; Chordata; Mammalia; Scandentia; Tupaiidae.
CGCGUGCGCGAACGUGCAUUAUAGCUCCGCCCCUGCACGGACUCGGGCCCCGAGGCCACCACGCAUGCGCGCCAGUCCGGCUCCGCCUCCGGGCGGGGUUUAGGCCUUGGCAGCCGGCGCAGCGCUUGCGCAUGCGCCCGCUCUUCGCGCACUUGGCCGUCUAGCGUCUAGUGCGGCUCGGUAGUGGGCAGAUCGGUGCUCCGACCCCAGCCAGUGUGAGGGAGGCGAGAGCCCCCCUCCUGGCCCGUCUUCUUUUAUCCUGUUCUAAUGCCUUUGGUCAAAACGCGUGCCCCAAGGGCUCCGCCAGCUUGCCGCGUUUGUUUCCCAUUCUCUGAGCCUCCUGAACUACGUGGCUGUUUCCAGCUUGGUGGAUGUUAGGAGUAAGCGGUUCCUUGUGCUUGCCACAGGACGGGGGAGUGCUGAGCUGGGUUGUGUAAAGUCCUGCAUUCUUUGGGGCCAGGUCACUAAAAUUAGAGACCUUCCCUAGGCGCAGAGCCAAGCCACAGCCACAAUAAAAGUGGUAGAAAGAGAAUGAGUAGGAAAGAAAGACUCUUGGGAAGAAGUGCACCCCAAGACCUGCGGGCGGGCAGGUGGCUGGGGAGCAACUGCGACCGCAACUGGCCAGGUGUCAUUUUAUCACGGUGGACUGAGCGUUUCACAGCGGGAGGUCUCAGGACCCACGCCUUUGGUUGAAUUCCCGGGCUUUCUCCCCACGUGGGCGUCUCCCUCGCAGGUGACUCUGGGUCUGCGGUGACCUCACCGCGCAUGCCCAGUGUGCACCGCGAUGGCAGGAGCAUCCCUGUUAGGGCGAACCGCCGGAUCAGUUUAUUCCCAGUGGGAAUCGGAUGUUGAUGAAACGUCUGGCUGGGUCUUUGUAUUGACCAGGAAUGAUAAGAGGGAAAUGUACAAUCAUCCCUGUGUGUCUCCCUCAGGCACCGAGGAAGAAAACGGUAUUUGCCUCACCUUCCCGGGGCCAGGAGCUGGGUGGGAAGAAGUCUCAUGGAGGCUCCGGUUGGAACUCCUGUUUGCACAAUAAGCAUAUGUCAGGAAAAAACAAGUUAAUUUAAAAAUCAAGAGACUGAAAACAGACGGACAUGGCCAGACCACGUGUGACGCCAACACUCUGACCCUCAGUCUCCGCAGACUCAGGACAGGAGCCAGGGCACAAGCUCUGCAGCGGUCGGCGGAGACCGUGAGCGCCUGGCCAAUGAUGGCUGCCUCCCUGUUUUUUUGCACCGCCCUUUCCAUCAGCGAACCAACCAGAGGAAGCCAAAUAAGAUUCCCUAAGCCAAUCACGUAAGAGUCUGCUCGCCUCAGCUUCUUCCAGCCAGUCGCCUUCCAGCAGAGCGCCCCGCCCUGGUCCCCCGCAGGGGCCGGCGUGUGCUCGUCCUCGCUUUGGGCCCAGGACGCUCGCGCUCCCGCAGAGCGGAGUGAAAGCGUCGGGUGAGGAGCCGCUGGAUUCGGAGCCCUGCGGAAGGCCACACCGACAUUCCAGUACUCCAAAGAACUUAGACACGUUGCUGUUCUACUCUUUUGUAUUUUCCUUUCUGCAAUAAACAUGUAACCAUCAGAAAUGUAUACAUUUUUUGUUGGAAAUUACGAAUAUAAUUUCCUGAAUGACUUGGCACAACUGUAUCCCUUAGUAAGCAGUGUUAAAACAUUAUUCGUGUUUACUUACAAAAAAUAUAUCAAAAAUAACUUUAUCAUUCACAUUUUAUUUAGUGUUACUGUUUUGGGUUGUUAGGCAUUCUAAAUAUCAUUCCAGGCUGAAUGAUGAAUAGAUGAAGGUACUAUAUAUAGUACCUUUUGUACAUU